Molecule: long non-coding RNA, 327 nt
Filed under: Musa acuminata (dwarf banana)
Lineage: Eukaryota; Viridiplantae; Streptophyta; Magnoliopsida; Zingiberales; Musaceae
Description: long non-coding RNA (MACU_LNC009570)
Source: RNAcentral
CAGAGAUUAAGGUUACUGUGGGAUGGGGUUAGAACACUUGCCUUAAAAUUAUUUGAAUCCCAAAUGUGAGAAAAUUGAUGAAAAACCUCAAGCUCUUCUUCUUCUUCUUCUUCUUCUUCUUCUUCUUCUCUCAAACUCACGUUGGCUGCAACUCUUCAGGUUUGUUUUCUUUAACCUUUCAUCUAAUUAUUUAGGUUUUGACUAAUACAAAAGUUGCAAGGUGUCAUGCAUGCAUGAAAGGGGCUAGGUGUCAUCUUUAGAGCAAAGAUAAGUGGCACCAACCUUAUGUUAGCUAGUGACACAUGUCCACUAUAUUUUUUUUUUUUU